UAGCGGUGAAAUGCGUAGAGAUCUGGAGGAAUACCGGUGGCGAAGGCGGCCCCCUGGACAAAGACUGACGCUCAGGUGCGAAAGCGUGGGGAGCAAACAGGAUUAGAUACCCUGGUAGUCCACGCCGUAAACGAUGUCUACUUGGAGGUUGUGCCCUUGAGGCGUGGCUUCCGGAGCUAACGCGUUAAGUAGACCGCCUGGGGAGUACGGCCGCAAGGUUAAAACUCAAAUGAAUUGACGGGGGCCCGCACAAGCGGUGGAGCAUGUGGUUUAAUUCGAUGCAACGCGAAGAACCUUAC
This 299-nucleotide ribosomal RNA is filed under the name Salmonella enterica. RNAcentral describes it as "partial 16S ribosomal RNA". It matches the Rfam family "Bacterial small subunit ribosomal RNA", at positions 676 to 974 of the family's 1533-position model. RNAcentral also lists the same sequence under 1 other name. Lineage: Bacteria; Pseudomonadati; Pseudomonadota; Gammaproteobacteria; Enterobacterales; Enterobacteriaceae. The record is from RNAcentral.